RNAcentral lists this ribosomal RNA (601 nucleotides) under uncultured fungus. Its description in RNAcentral is "eukaryotic LSU rRNA". It matches the Rfam family "Eukaryotic large subunit ribosomal RNA", at positions 40 to 638 of the family's 3401-position model. Lineage: Eukaryota; Fungi. The record is from RNAcentral.
AUAUCAGUAAGCAGAGGAAAAGAAACCAACAGGGAUUUCCCGAGUAACUGCGAGUGAAAAGGGAUGAGCUCAGCGCAAAAGAAGACUUCGUAGUGGAGUUUUCGGUGUUGCGUUUGGAGGGUCCGAUUUGGGGUGGUUGUGCGGUCUAAAUUUCGCUGGAACGCGGUUGCACAGAUGGUUUUACACCAGUUUGGCCACACUUCCCCUCAAAGUGGACACUUCCGGGAGUCGGGUUGUUUGGAAACGCAGCCCAAAGCGGGUGGUAAACUUCACCUAAAGCUAAAUACGGCUACGAGACCGAUAGCAAACAAGUACUGUGAAGGAAAGUUGAAAAGCACUUUGAAAAGAGAGUGCAAGAGAACGUGAAACCGUUAUAGUGGAAACGGAUAGAGUUGACGUAUCUAGUGCGUAUUCAGCCGCUUUUCGGGGCAAUUUGUGUGUCCGGAAUUUCGUAAGAUUUCCGAUGUGCAUUGUUGUUUCGAGAAGCGGUGCAUUUGCGUACAGAGUGCGCCGAAUCGGCCGAGCCCGCUGUUUGAUAGUCACGAAGAGGACUGCCUCAGGUAGAAACCCGAGUGACUGGAUGGCAGAUGGACUUGACCGU